GACGAACGCUGGCGGCGUGCCUAAUACAUGCAAGUCGAGCGAAUCAAUGGGAGCUUGCUCCCUGAGAUUAGCGGCGGACGGAUGAGUAACACGUGGGUAACCUGCCUGUAAGACUGGGAUAACUUCGGGAAACCGGAGCUAAUACCGGAUACGUUCUUUUCUCGCAUGAGGAGAGAUGGAAAGAUGGUUCUGCUAUCACUUACAGAUGGACCCGCGGCGCAUUAGCUAGUUGGUGAGGUAACGGCUCACCAAGGCGACGAUGCGUAGCGGACCUGAGAGGGGGAUCGGCCACACUGCGGCUGGGACGGGGCCAAGAGUCCUACGGGAGGCAGCAGUAGGGAAUGUUCCGCAAUGGAAGAAAGUCUGACGUAGCAACGCCGCGUGAGCGAAGAAGGCCUUCGGGUCGUAAAGCUCUGUUGUUAGGGAAGAACAAGUACGAGAGUAACUGCUCGUACCUUGACGGUACCUAACCAGAAAGCCACGGCUAACUACGUGCCAGCCGCCGCCGUAA
RNAcentral lists this ribosomal RNA (511 nucleotides) under uncultured bacterium. RNAcentral describes it as "partial 16S ribosomal RNA". It matches the Rfam family "Bacterial small subunit ribosomal RNA", at positions 28 to 523 of the family's 1533-position model. The record is from RNAcentral.